CCCUUAGAGUUUGAUCCUGGCUCAGGACGAACGCUGGCGGCGUGCCUAACACAUGCAAGUCGAACGGAACUGUUUUGAAAGAUUUCUUCGGAAUGAAUUUGAUUUAGUUUAGUGGCGGACGGGUGAGUAACGCGUGAGUAACCUGCCUUCAAGAGGGGGAUAACAUUCUGAAAAGAAUGCUAAUACCGCAUGAUAUAUCGGAACCACAUGGUUCUGAUAUCAAAGAUUUUAUCGCUUGAAGAUGGACUCGCGUCCGAUUAGUUAGUUGGUGAGGUAACGGCUCACCAAGACCGCGAUCGGUAGCCGGACUGAGAGGUUGAACGGCCACAUUGGGACUGAGACACGGCCCAGACUCCUACGGGAGGGCAGCAGUGGGGGAUAUUGCGCAAUGGGGGCAACCCUGACGCAGCAACGCCGCGUGAAGGAUGAAGGUUUUCGGAUUGUAAACUUCUUUUAUUAAGGACGAAACUUGACGGUACUUAAUGAAUAAGCUCCGGCUAACUACGUGCCAGCAGCCGCGGUAAUACGUAGGGAGCAAGCGUUGUCCGGAUUUACUGGGUGUAAAGGGUGCGUAGGCGGCUUUGCAAGUCAGAUGUGAAAUCUAUGGGCUCAACCCAUAAACUGCAUUUGAAACUGUAGAGCUUGAGUGAAGUAGAGGCAGGCGGAAUUCCCCGUGUAGCGGUGAAAUGCGUAGAGAUGGGGAGGAACACCAGUGGCGAAGGCGGCCUGCUGGGCUUUAACUGACGCUGAGGCACGAAAGCGUGGGUAGCAAACAGGAUUAGAUACCCUGGUAGUCCACGCUGUAAACGAUGAUUACUAGGUGUGGGGGGUCUGACCCCUUCCGUGCCGGAGUUAACACAAUAAGUAAUCCACCUGGGGAGUACGGCCGCAAGGUUGAAACUCAAAUGAAUU
This 912-nucleotide ribosomal RNA is filed under the name uncultured bacterium. RNAcentral's name for it is "bacterial SSU rRNA". It matches the Rfam family "Bacterial small subunit ribosomal RNA", at positions 1 to 911 of the family's 1533-position model. The record is from RNAcentral.